GACGAACGCUGGCGGCGUGCUUAACACUUGCAAGUCGAACGGAAAGGCCCUGCUUGCAGGGUACUCGAGUGGCGAACGGGUGAGUAACACGUGGGUGAUCUGCCCCGCACUUCGGGAUAAGCCUGGGAAACUGGGUCUAAUACCGGAUAGGAGCCAUUUUUAGUGUGAUGGUUGGAAAGUUUUUUCGGUGUAGGAUGAGCUCGCGGCCUAUCAGCUUGUUGGUGGGGUAAUGGCCUACCAAGGCGGCGACGGGUAGCCGGCCUGAGAGGGUGGACGGCCACAUUGGGACUGAGAUACGGCCCAGACUCCUACGGGAGGCAGCGGUGGGGAAUAUUGCACAAUGGGCGCAAGCCUGAUGCAGCGACGCCGCGUGGGGGAUGACGGCCUUCGGGUUGUAAACUCCUUUCGCUAGGGACGAAGCUUUUUGUGACGGUACCUAGAUAAGAAGCACCGGCUAACUACGUG
RNAcentral lists this ribosomal RNA (465 nucleotides) under uncultured bacterium. RNAcentral's name for it is "partial 16S ribosomal RNA". It matches the Rfam family "Bacterial small subunit ribosomal RNA", at positions 28 to 507 of the family's 1533-position model. The record is from RNAcentral.